UAGUCAUAUGCUUGUCUCAAAGAUUAAGCCAUGCAUGUCUAAGUAUAAACUGCUUUAUACUGUGAAACUGCGAAUGGCUCAUUAAAUCAGUUAUAGUUUAUUUGAUGGUACCUACUACUCGGAUACCCGUAGUAAAUCUAGAGCUAAUACGUGCGUAAAUCCCGACUUCUGGAAGGGACGUAUUUAUUAGAUAAAAGGCCGACCGGGCUCUGCCCGACUCGCGGUGAAUCAUGAUAACUUCACGAAUCGCAUGGCCUUGCGCCGGCGAUGUUUCAUU
This 277-nucleotide ribosomal RNA is filed under the name uncultured eukaryote. RNAcentral describes it as "partial 18S ribosomal RNA". It matches the Rfam family "Eukaryotic small subunit ribosomal RNA", at positions 21 to 299 of the family's 1831-position model. The record is from RNAcentral.